Molecule: ribosomal RNA, 253 nt
Filed under: uncultured bacterium
Lineage: Bacteria
Description: partial 16S ribosomal RNA
Rfam family: Bacterial small subunit ribosomal RNA
Source: RNAcentral
UACGUAGGGGGCAAGCGUUGUCCGGAUUUAUUGGGCGUAAAGCGCGUGUAGGCGGCCAGGUAGGUCCGCUGUGAAAACCCGAGGCUCAACCUCGGGACGUCGGCGGAAACCAUCUGGCUAGAGUCCGGAAGAGGAGAGUGGAAUUCCCGGUGUAGCGGUGAAAUGCGUAGAUAUCGUAAGGAAGACCAGUGGCGAAGGCGGGUCUCUGGACAGUUCCUGACGCUGAGGCACGAAGGUCAGGGGAGCAAACGGG